AUUUCUUCGAACUAAGUGGUUCCUCUCCAAUGAUUGAAGUAAGACUUGAGCGUCCUGGGAAAGCGGUCGAGCGGCCGGGACGACUGGCCCAAAAGGACCGCCCUCUGCAUCUGAAGAGACCGGAGGUGAAGGAGGAGGUUCAGUAGGGUGAAUGGGAGGCUCUGAGGUGACAAACUCUACCUCUGAAGUCGGCCGUUCUUGAGGUCAAAAUGAAGAGCUCUGCACUUCCGCCACGGCUUCUCUCUGAGCAGCAGCAAUGGCCUCUUUCAUCUCUAACACUUUUCGGGCG
Molecule: unclassified non-coding RNA, 289 nt
Filed under: Hevea brasiliensis (rubber tree)
Lineage: Eukaryota; Viridiplantae; Streptophyta; Magnoliopsida; Malpighiales; Euphorbiaceae
Source: RNAcentral